RNAcentral lists this ribosomal RNA (406 nucleotides) under uncultured bacterium. RNAcentral's name for it is "partial 16S ribosomal RNA". It matches the Rfam family "Bacterial small subunit ribosomal RNA", at positions 30 to 526 of the family's 1533-position model. The record is from RNAcentral.
AUUGAACGCUGGCGGCAUGCCUAACACAUGCAAGUCGAACGAGUGGCGGACGGGUGAGUAAUGUCUGUGAAACUGCCUGAUGGAGGGGGCUAACUACUGGAACCGGUAGCUAAUACCGCAUACCAUCGGAUGUGCCCUGAUGGGAUUAGCUAGUAGGUGGGGUAACGGCUCACCUAGGCGACGAUCCCUAGCUGGUCUGAGAGGAUGACCAGCAACACGGGAACGGAGACACGGGCCAGACUCCUACGGGAGGCAGCAGUGGGGAAUAUUGCACAAUGGGCGAAAGCCUGAUGCAGCCAUGCCGCGUGUAUGAAGAAGGCCUUCGGGUUGUAAAGUACUUUCAGCGGGGAGGCGUUACCCGCAGAAGAAGCACCGGCUAACUCCGUGCCAGCAGCCGCGGUAAUAC